Long non-coding RNA from Papilio polytes (common Mormon), 988 nucleotides. RefSeq lists it as uncharacterized. The record is from RefSeq and is a predicted model, not a curated record. Lineage: Eukaryota; Metazoa; Arthropoda; Insecta; Lepidoptera; Papilionidae. The transcript has 2 exons.
CUGCGCGCCGGAGACUCCGUGCUGGCGCUGGGCGCCGCGCGCCGCGGACAUGUCGCCGUGCAGGUGCUGGGCCGCACGGUGUCCGUGCCGCACAGCGUGCUGGCGCCGCCGCGCGCGCUGCGGCCUCGCGCGCCGCCCGCCGUGCCGCCCCCCGCCGCGCCCGCCGCGCCCGCGCUCUCAUGACCGCCCUGACAAGACCGAUUUUUUUCUAUGAAACCAUUGAGAGCUCGCAUUAUAACAUCCACAUUAAAUAUUAUGGGACGUCACAGUGAGGAUUGCGAGUGUCUCGCCUGUUGCGCGCCGCCCGCGCCGCCGACGGAGCAGACUCGUAUCAUGUGUCAUGUGAAAAACUAUUAUAUCCCGAUUGGGAAACUGACCCUUAGUGACAGGCGCUUCCCUGCCGCUGGCGAUGUCGGAAAAUUGCCAUGAAUGCUUUGAUGGACUUUAGCUGCCUUGUCAUAUGUCAUGGGUGUUAUGUGUUACGGAUAUAAGCUCGUUUACCAUAUAGAGACCGCGCCGGCCGCGCCCAGCGCCCCUCUCAUUGAUCCAGACAAGUUUGUCAGACUGUACCUUACUAUAUAACAUUCGAUCCGAAAUGUAAGUUUAUUGUAAAGUAAAUAGAUAUUCGAUGUAAGAUUUAUUUUGAAUACACAGAGAUAUAGAGUUGUGAGGUAGCUGUCGUGCGUACAGGAGGCGGCUGCGCUCCGACCUGCAGUACAACAUACUUCUUAAUUAAUUUUUAAAGGCUACUGUAUGUCACAGCAUUGUUAAUUUUAUUAUAUGCAAUUAUUUAUGUUUUCUUCAUACAAAGGUUUGAAUGACCGAACUCUAUGUAAACUGUGUGUUUGUGUGUGACUGUGUGUAUGAGCGUGUGUCGAGCGACGUGAGCUCGCGCCCCCUGCCGACAAGAGUCUGAAGCCCUACUCACUCGACGACUCGAUAAUGUAGUGAGGGAAACGUACAAAAUAAAAGACUAUAUUUUAAAACA